Molecule: ribosomal RNA, 510 nt
Filed under: uncultured bacterium
Lineage: Bacteria
Description: partial 16S ribosomal RNA
Rfam family: Bacterial small subunit ribosomal RNA
Source: RNAcentral
GACGAACGCUGGCGGCGUGCUUAACACAUGCAAGUCGAACGAAGAGCGCUGGAAGCUUGCUUCUAUCAAUCUUAGUGGCGAACGGGUGAGUAACGCGUAAUCAACCUGCCCUUCAGAGGGGGACAACAGUUGGAAACGACUGCUAAUACCGCAUACGAUCUAACCUCGGCAUCGAGGAAAGAUGAUAGGUGGCUUCUAUGUAUAAGCCAUCACUGAAGGAGGGGAUUGCGUCUGUUUAGUUCGUUGGAGGGGUAACGGCGCACCAAGGCGAUGAUCAGUAGCCGGUCGGAGAGGAUGAGCGGCCACAUUGGGAGUGAGACACGGCCCAGAGUCCUACGGGAGGCAGCAGUGGGGAAUCUUCCGCAAUGGACGAAAGUCUGACGGAGCAACGCCGCGUGAGUGAUGACGGCCUUCGGGUUGUAAAGCUCUGUUAAUCGGGACGAAAGGCCUUCUUGCGAAUAGUGAGAAGGAUUGACGGUACCGGAAUAGAAAGCCACGGCUAACUACGUG